This is an RNA transcript of Apis laboriosa (Himalayan honeybee), 1454 nucleotides long. It is a transcript of the gene named protein-L-histidine N-pros-methyltransferase, with no coding region annotated. NCBI's taxonomy places the organism in Eukaryota, Metazoa, Arthropoda, Insecta, Hymenoptera, Apidae. The record is from RefSeq and is a predicted model, not a curated record. The transcript is spliced from 6 exons.
GCGAACUGCGUCAUCUUUCGUAUUUUUCUUGCUCAUAUACCAAAGUGUUAGCCACAAGAUUACGGUGCCGAGUAUCGUCAUGUCAUGUGUGUGUGGUGACUGAUAGUCAUUAACGUGCUCCUCGUGGGCAUGGCGAGUGCGGAUGCGCCUGUACCAAGGUGCACCUGCGACGUCAGGAAUUUGGCUACCUGUUCUACUGUCAAUCAGGAUACCACGAGUAGAGUCGUAAGAAGUUACAGACCACAUGGAAGCCUUGCCAGACUACUUUACGACAAACAAAAGGCAGACGAACAGCUUGAGGCAUACGACAAGACUCAGUGGUACAAAGUAGACAGAACCAAGAUCCGGGAAGAUUUGCUCCGUUUAUGGAUUCCUCUUGGUGCAGGAUUCCAUCAUGAUCAACCUGAUAAAACUGCCGAAAUCUUCCUAAUGAAAUCCAUUGAAAGGUCGGAUUCCUUACCAUUGCAAGCCUGGCAUUCUUUAGCAAGAUCUGCUUUAUCGUGGUUCAUCAGCCGCACUUCUAUAAAUGGAUUACUCGGCCGUGGUUCCAUGCAUGUCUUUUCUUGCGAACAAUUUCAAAAAUUGAUGGUGGCAAGCGGCUUUUUAGGACCAUGGCAUUCGUUGGUGGAUUUAGGGGCAGGCGACGGUGCCACCACUGCUCAUGUAGCUCACCUUUUUGAAAAAGUUUAUGCUACAGACAUAUCAGCACCGAUGAGAUGGGCUCUGGCAAAAAAGAAAUUCACGGUGCUCGAUGUAGAAAAAUGGUACGAAAAUAGUCCCUUCAACGUGAUUCUCUGUCUAAACUUAUUGGAUCGUUGCGAUCGACCUAACACUCUACUUCGCCGCCUAAAGUCAUCUUUAGCUCCAGGUGGUCGUUUGGUCGUAGCUUUAGUUCUUCCAUUCAGCCCUUAUGUAGAAGUUGGUGAAAGAGAUGACCACAAACCGUCGGAAUAUUUGCCAGUAAAAGGGAACGGUCUAGAAGGUCAAAUAGCUAGCCUCGUCGACAGAGUUUUCGCACCAUUAAGUUUAAGAUGUCUGGCAUGGAGCAAACUGCCUUACCUCUGCGAAGGAGAUCUCGGCCAAGCAUAUUAUUUUCUUGACGACGUGAUAUUUGUUUUAGAAGCACAACCAAAUAUUUUAGGAUAGCUCACGAUAUUCUGCUUCUGAAUGGAUGGAUACAGAGCUAUUUGAAAGAAAAUGCUGUAACAUACUCGAACAACAGAGUGGUAAUGAACGAAACACAGCUUGAAACAGGAAUAUGUGGAGGUGGCAGAAAACUUCUUAACGACUGUACAAGCUGUAUUGUAUCCACCAAUGCUGUAACAAAAUCAAUCCAAAAUAUAUACAUUUCUAUUUCAUUAAUGGAAGAAAAUUGGCAAAAGAUAUAUGAAAUAAUCACAAAAGCAGUAUUUAAUAUCUAAUAAUAUUAUUCAUUAAUGUGAUAUAAAAUAUAA